CCUACGGGUGGCAGCAGGGAGGAAGAGGGGGCAAGGGACGAGAGUCUGAACCAGAGAAGGAGCGUGAAGGAUGACUGCCCUAUGGGUUGUAAACUUCUUUUAUAUGGGAAUAAAAUGUUCCACGUGUGGGAUUUUGUAUGUACCAUAUGAAUAAGGAUCGGCUAACUCCGUGCCAGCAGCCGCGGUAAUACGGAGGAUCCGAGCGUUAUCCGGAUUUAUUGGGUUUAAAGGGAGCGUAGGUGGAUUGUUAAGUCAGUUGUGAAAGUUUGCGGCUCAACCGUAAAAUUGCAGUUGAAACUGGCAGUCUUGAGUACAGUAGAGGUGGGCGGAAUGCGUGGUGUAGCGGUGAAAUGCUUAGAUAUCACGAAGAACUCCGAUUGCGAAGGCAGUUCACUGGACUGCAACUGACACUGAGGCUCGAAAGUGUGGGUAUCGAACAGGAUUAGAUACCCUGGUAGUC
This 460-nucleotide ribosomal RNA is filed under the name uncultured bacterium. RNAcentral's name for it is "partial 16S ribosomal RNA". It matches the Rfam family "Bacterial small subunit ribosomal RNA", at positions 338 to 795 of the family's 1533-position model. The record is from RNAcentral.